Long non-coding RNA from Lagopus muta (rock ptarmigan), 1813 nucleotides. RefSeq lists it as uncharacterized. The transcript has 3 exons. The record is from RefSeq and is a predicted model, not a curated record. Lineage: Eukaryota; Metazoa; Chordata; Aves; Galliformes; Phasianidae.
CUUUGGAGUCUUUCUGUGAGCCUAGGGCAUGGUCUCUGGGUUCCGCAUAUUUAUUUAGCCUCAGCUACUGCUGCUCUGUUAAUGAACAUAGCAUGUAUAUUGCAGUCCAGCACUAUAGGCUUAAACAGCUUUGAGGGAACUGGUCUGCUGGUACCAAAUUUCAGCUCAUUUCUCUACUCACUUGGAAGAAGCUUUGUGCAUGUUUUUUCAGACUCUGGACAGCACAAAAUAAAAAUAAAUUGCCUGUACUCUGGGUUAUGAGAAAAUACUUGUUUAUCACAGUCAGUGCUAGAAGGAAAAAUUUCUGCUUAACCAUAGGUAAUGAAGAGCUAAUCCUCACCAUUCUGCAGGAGAAGCCAUGUGAAUUUGGGGAAAAAAACAUAGGAAAUAUAGAAGGAGGAAGUCAACUCUGUUCUAAGAUAUGCAGUUUUAAAUUUUCUUGUUGUCUCGGUGCAUUAGUUGGCUUGUCACAUCAUAUUUUCUCAGCUUCUUUGUAUUAUGUCACAUAAUAUGACAGAGACAACCCUUGUGACAAAUCACACAAGCCAGUGUGUCAGCAGGGAAAUAGAAAACUGACAGUUCUCUGAAUAGCCCCAUAAAAAUGCUCAAUAGAAGGCUGUAAAAACUUUCUAAAAAUAUACACCUAUAUUUUUUAUUGCUGUAAACUCUCUAAACAAAUUUCAGAAUACCAAUAUAAAGAAUUAAGACAAAAGCUGAAAAUAUCUUGCAUAAUAGGAGCUCCAGCUAAUAUGUAGAAAAGGCUUAGUUUGGGAUGGCAGAUGGGAUACAUCCACAGCUUUCUGCUCUGCCCCUACCAAAUGGAUGUCUGUGAGGUUCAUUCCCCACUCCUGAACUGUAAUUUCAGUUUUGAAGUGUAACACUGGAAAUUGCAGUUACUCAGUGGUAGCUCGUGAGUAGCUUCUGUCUGAAGAGAUCCGAGUAAUACCUGCCAGUUGUAUUAAUACAAGUAACUCCUACUUGUCCUCAUGCAGAAUUGGACUGAAUUGGUAGACCCUUUCCCCCAGUCCUAACCCACUUGCUGUCUUUGCAUUAAAUAGUAAGGAAGUGCCUAUGUUCUUUUUCCUGUUCGAGAUGAUGAUGUUUGUGUGCAUGUACUCAUUAUUUGUAUUCUUUCAUGCUUUGUAGUUUUGAUUUCUAAGACUCAUCUUUCUCCUUUUUAGAUUUCUAAUUAGCAAAUGUCUCUAAUUUGGAUGGGGAGUGGGAGGAAAGUGGUUUGACAGAAUAUUCUGCCUUGUGUCUUAGGUUGCACAACCUGCAGCUGUUAUUAAAAGAGAAAGCAAUUAGAAAUAGAGUUCUGCAUCUUGAAAAUGUAUCCUGUAUUAUUUUUAGGCCAUGAUAUGUUUUCACAAUCUGUUAAAUCUACCUCUGUCAUUCUUUCUGAAAUUACAUGGACAGUCACAGAUUUAGAAGUUUUGAGGGAAUUCCUGUUGUCCUGAAAUUAAGAAGAGAAUUGAUAGGCAACUGUAAUCAGUAACUGUUUACAUGUGUAAUGUGUUCUGUUUAAUGUUUCAGUGGCUCCUUUAAAGUAAUGUUAGGAAAAAAGUACUUUGGUAUGGUUGAUGCUAAAGUCACGUACAGAUACAGGACUCAGAAACUGGUAUACCAUUGAUUUCAUUUCUUUCUUGUAGCUUUAAAAUUUAGAGGAAGUUGGAAUAUUGAUUAGCAUUCAUUGUGUUUAAAAAAUGCAAUAAUAUUUCUCUGUGAUACAAUUACUUCUACUGGUUUAUGUUUUCAAUGUUUCUGGACAGUUAAAGCAGCAGCAUUACUUAGAGAACUUUAUGGUUAAUUUAGA